AGCGAACGCUGGCGGUAGGCCUAACACAUGCAAGUCGAACGGCAGCACAGUAAGAGCUUGCUCUUACGGGUGGCGAGUGGCGGACGGGUGAGGAAUACAUCGGAAUCUACUUUUUCGUGGGGGAUAACGUAGGGAAACUUACGCUAAUACCGCAUACGACCUACGGGUGAAAGCAGGGGAUCUUCGGACCUUGCGCGAUUGAAUGAGCCGAUGUCGGAUUAGCUAGUUGGCGGGGUAAAGGCCCACCAAGGCGACGAUCCGUAGCUGGUCUGUGAGGAUGAUCAGCCACACUGGAACUGAGACACGGUCCAGACUCCUACGGGAGGCAGCAGUGGGGAAUAUUGGACAAUGGGCGCAAGCCUGAUCCAGCCAUACCGCGUGGGUGAAGAAGGCCUUCGGGUUGUAAAGCCCUUUUGUUGGGAAAGAAAAGCAGCAGGUUAAUACCCCGCUGUUCUGACGGUACCCAAAGAAUAAGCACCGGCUAACUUCGUG
This 492-nucleotide ribosomal RNA is filed under the name uncultured bacterium. Its description in RNAcentral is "partial 16S ribosomal RNA". It matches the Rfam family "Bacterial small subunit ribosomal RNA", at positions 29 to 507 of the family's 1533-position model. The record is from RNAcentral.